GAUGAACGCUGGCGGCGUGCCUAAUACAUGCAAGUCGAGCGAACGGACGAGAAGCUUGCUUUUCUGAUGUUAGCGGCGGACGGGUGAGUAACACGUGGAUAACCUACCUAUAAGACUGGGAUAACUUCGGGAAACCGGAGCUAAUACCGGAUAAUAUUUUGAACCGCAUGGUUCAAAAGUGAAAGACGGUCUUGCUGUCACUUAUAGAUGGAUCCGCGCUGCAUUAGCUAGUUGGUAAGGUAACGGCUUACCAAGGCAACGAUGCAUAGCCGACCUGAGAGGGUGAUCGGCCACACUGGAACUGAGACACGGUCCAGACUCCUACGGGAGGCAGCAGUAGGGAAUCUUCCGCAAUGGGCGAAAGCCUGACGGAGCAACGCGCGUGAGUGAUGAAGGUCUUCGGAUCGUAAAACUCUGUUAUUAGGGAAGAACAUAUGUGUAAGUAACUGUGCACAUCUUGACGGUACCUAAUCAGAAAGCCACGGCUAACUACGUG
Molecule: ribosomal RNA, 496 nt
Filed under: uncultured bacterium
Lineage: Bacteria
Description: partial 16S ribosomal RNA
Rfam family: Bacterial small subunit ribosomal RNA
Source: RNAcentral